AUCGUAAGAAGUGGAGGUGCCUUGGGAAAUGUUACAGUGAGCAUUAGAUUGUAUGAGCUGUGUUAGUGACCCUCUGUGUCACAUUAAAAGGCAUAAUUCCUAAAGAACGUAUCCAAUAAGAUACGGCUUUUGAAGAUAAUUCUGGAGGUUCCAUAGCUUUCAUUAGGUUCUCAAAGGAUUGUUGAUCAAAAAAACCCCC
This is a non-coding RNA of Kogia breviceps (pygmy sperm whale), 199 nucleotides long. NCBI's taxonomy places the organism in Eukaryota, Metazoa, Chordata, Mammalia, Artiodactyla, Physeteridae. The record is from RefSeq and is a predicted model, not a curated record.